Molecule: long non-coding RNA, 4648 nt
Filed under: Nicotiana benthamiana
Lineage: Eukaryota; Viridiplantae; Streptophyta; Magnoliopsida; Solanales; Solanaceae
Description: long non-coding RNA (NBEN_LNC018375)
Source: RNAcentral
UCAUUCUCUCUCUAUCUAUCUAUUACUCUCUAGAAGCCCCCUUGGCUUCUCCCCUCCGACGGGGUCUGUUCACCUUCUCCGAUCGAUUUUCUCACCGGAACCUAUGGCUCCUCACUAUUUCUUGGUCAUCUACCCAUUUCUCAACCACUCAGUGAUAUCCUAGGCUCUUCAGAUGAACCUGGAGCGGUUCACUCCCCCCCCCCAUAGGUCUCUUGCCAUUUUUCGGCCAACCCCCGGCCGUUUGAGUAAGUUUGCAGUUUAUCCGGCUAAAUCUAUGUCAUUCAUGAGGUUUUCCCUCUUUUCUGGUUCCUCGAAACCCUAGUCCUCUUAUUUUAUGUUUUCUUUUAAGAUAUGUUCUAUAUUUACGGUGCUAUGAAGUUUCUUUAUGUUUUUCUCUAGAAAAUUCUGUUUUUAACAAUUUCAAGAACUAAGGUUUCUCGAUCCUGAUCUCAAAACAGUUUUCCUUUGAUUUUUAAACGACUCUACUAUGUUUAAGUGAUUAUUUUAUUCUUUCUUGUGCCUUGAUUGUUAUGCUGAAACCCCAAUUUUUAGGUUAAGCUUUAUUAUGUGUAUUCGUUUGUUGCUUAAUUGUUUGCACUCAUGUGUUCUCUGUGACUCCUGUUUAAUUCACUAUUAUGACAUUUUGCUGUUGAUUUCUAUGAAUAUCUCUUCCUGUUAGUCAUAUGACUGCUAUUUAAAUGCUUUAUAAUUCUGACAUUUACCCUACUGGUUCUUUAUUUGAUGAUUUUUGUUGAUCCUUUUGUGUAAAAAUUCUGUGCUUGUGAUGUUUUCCUUAAAUACAUGAUCUUGUGUAUUCCUUCGGUAGUUUUGUACCAAUUUUUGAAUUAUUUCUAUAUUUAUGUGAUGCUUUCCUUAAUUACUUUGGAUUCCAUGUAAUUAUAAUUGGAUCCGGGAUCCUCUUGGUUGAUUCUCAAACUUAUGCCAUAUUUUUACUUCAUAAAUACACUGUUGUUUCAACUUUCUUUAAUUACCCACUAUGUAUUUGGCCUUGUUUAUGCAAUAUGAUUUCUUUGCCCUAAUCAGCCCUACUGAACUGAUUUCUUUUCUUUUUUUUGCCUUGACUAACCGUUUGAACUAGACUCCUUAAUUAAAGGAGCCCAGUUGUCUUAAUUGACACUAAUUGAUUUCCAUUUUCAUGUUUAUGUGCUCUUUGCCUAUGUACUACGUAUUUUUAAAACUAUAUAAAGACAUGUUCUAUACAAACACACUGAGAUUCACACAUACACACAAACACUGAGAUUCGCACAUACACACACAAAAAUUGACAUUGAGAUUCACAUGAACAAAGACACUAACAUACACCCACACAAAUUGACAUUGAGAUCACUGAUCACACAAACACACCCAAAACUGAGUAAUCUCUACUGCUCUUGUGCUUUUGCAUACUAUUGCUGCUCUCAUACUGCAUAUUACUAUCCUAUCGUGGCUCUCCUUGUCCUGUAUACUGCUACUGUUGUGCUAUCUCUAGUACUUUGAUGUUCUCUACUCUCUAACUUGUAUGUUUUUUUUUCUGAUUUAGCUUUAGAGCAUCUACACACAAUAUUCUCCAGUUUUUGCUUACUUACUUACCAUUCCUUUUGUGCUUCAUCCUUUGGUUCCACUAUUUACCAUGUAACUAGCUUAACCCCUAUCAUGUCUUCCCGUUUUGUUAAGUUUGAAUGUGUAUAUUGUUUUCCAUAUGGUUCAUUGUAAUUAUGUCAUAAAUACACUCAUAUCCCUCCCUUUCUUUGAGUCUGGCUUGUCCCUAGUUUAUUCUAAACUCUAGUAUGCUUAUGUGUUCAUGGGUUGUUGUUCCUCACCCUAACCCAAUUUUUGUUACUUGCUCUUAUUAUGUGAUUAAACCUGCCUCUCCAUAUAUCUAAGUGUUAUGUAAUCCUGAUUAUAUUAGCUUGUGCUAUUAUGUGACAACUAUGUGGUAACUAUGUGAUAACUAUAACUCUAUCUAAAUGAUGAUAUCAAAGUUAUUUGUCCCCAACCCUUACCCUUGUUUGUGUUUUCUCUUUCAUGAGUUCUUUACCCGCUGGUUGCCGUUGUAUUGCCUCUCUCUGUGACAAAAUUUUUUACCAAAAUCCUUCAUCAUUUUCUGAAAUCAUCUUUUCAAAGUUGUUGUCUUAACUAAUCUUUUCAAACUUAUAUUCUCUUUAAUCUCCAAGUAUCUCCCUACUACAACUAGACUCUAGGUACUGCCCCCUUUGAGUGAGUACUACCUUGGGGACCUCUGAGUACCCAUUGAACAUUGACACACAAGGCUAGCUUUCUACAGUGCACUUACUCGUCCUUGGCUACGGUGCCUGGGUGUGAGCACUGUCGUGGGAUCUUCUUAGGUCCUUAGAGACUAUGACAAACUUGGGUUGGAAGUCCAUGGCAUAUGGCAAGUGGAUCUGGUACUUUAGGCCUACUGUUAGGCCUUAUAAAGUAUAGCUUCUUGAUUUUUCUUUCAUUCAGUUGUGUAAUUUUUGGUCAAUAAUGAUUAUUUGUAAAACACUCCAGGGCUGGAUAGUGAAAAGAGUGGGGAUAAUGCAUGCUUAGUAUAAUUUUUGGGUAGAGAACAUGCUUUAGGAUUUACUUCUUAUCUGUGCGCAAUAGAGAUCCUGCGUAAGACAUGUUUGCAUUAGAUAUCAUGUUUUUUUAGGUCUAUUCAUGUAUGCAUCUCAUCUCAUCCAUGUUCAUUUAGGGAUCCACAUAGAUAUUAACGAUGUUAACUACAUGCUUCAUCAGAAAUAAUGCUAAAAAAUGUUUCUUUUUAAACAAUGUUGUCUCCGCAUGCAUAACUCAUAUGUAGAUACCCUGUUCUUAAGUGUAUUAUCGCUAUUUGCAUCAGAAACCACGUAUUUUAGGAUCUAUUUUCGGCAUGUCUAUAUUUUAAAGUUUGGUCCAAGUACUCAAUUCGACGCCUAGGAAAAACUUAGGCCUAAUGUUUGCUAAAAUAAAAAAAAAUCAAUUAUUUAUGCACCACCUAUUUUAUUACAAAAAAUGGAUUUCAAACCAAUCAGUCAUUUUUCUGGAACUCAUUAAAACCUGUUGUUUACCACUUUUUCACAUCUAGAAUUCAUGUUUAGGUUCUGAAUCUGAGACCUUCAUUGUUGUUUGAAACGUGCUAUUUACAUGCCUUACUUGUGGAGGGAUAUAUGAGCCAUAUAAUUUUUUAUGUGUACCCCAUAUGUGCAAGUCCUAAUUGUUUCUCUACUUGUCGUUUAGAAUUUUACCCUUUAAAACCUAGGGGUUCAGCCUAGUACUCACCCUGUAGAAUUAGUAGUCCUAAACACUCUCCAUGACUUAUAGAACGGGAUGGGCAAUAGCAUGCAAUAAGCUUCAUGACCAACACACACGCUUUAAUACCUUAACGGGGUGGGAAGGGUAGAUAUGGAUAUGAUGACUGGUGCGUUAAUACCAUGUGCAACCCCUCUUCUGAGGAGUGAUCGUCGGGUAUUGUAUUGAUGUGAUCCAUAUUAUUUGUAAACCUAGGACCCCUUCCCUUUACUGGUUUAUUUUAUUUUGUAACUUUUUCUUCAAAAUUUUAGCUUUCUUUAUUUCUUCAACUUUAAUUUAUUUGCAGACAUAUGUGAUAAUCCCUCAUACUUGAAAUAUUUACUUGCUUACUUGUUCUUUGUACGUAAAAUCACAAUUGUAGCAUGGUCAGAAACCACACUAGUGGAUCUUGAGGGUACCUAAUACCUUCCCCUUGACAUAAUUUCUAGCCCUUACCCAAACUGGUUUUUCAACUCAAACCCUUUUUUAGUGUCCUAAUGCACUUUAAUCAUUAGAUGACGACUUUUCAAUUUAUAACUCAAUUCCCAAAAGGAAAUGAGUUGUCCGUACAAAUGUCAUAAACCCGAUUUCGCUUUAGAAAAAGGGGGUAUCGACACAGAGUAGUGGUGGAAACUUAUGUAUCACACUCACUCCUUGAGAGUUUUGAGAUGCAAACACCAAAGGGAGUGAUAAAGCAAUAGAUUGCAAUUGAAUGGAGGCCAAAAUUUUGUUGUGAUUGUAUAAGAUUUGGUCAUGAUACAAUGGAGUGUUGGAGAAAGACAAAGCAAGUAAAUGAGGAGGAAUUUAAGGAGAAGAAGGAUACUUCAACAAUGGAUGCAGAAGAUACAUGUUUCUUCAACUUCAAAUGAUGUAAAAUCAUCUAGAACUCAAAAAGAAGAGCAGGUAAGAAUUCCUAAUGCAGAAGGUGUACAGCCCAUAGCUAAACAAGUUCCUACAGAAGAUCUAAACAUAGCACUCAGCAAGAUAGGAGCAAGUCAAGGAAAACAAACUACCAUUGUUAGAGGAAAUAUAGUUGUUGCAACUACCUCUAGCAAUAGGUUUGCAAUCUUACAAACUCAACUCUCAGAUCAGGAGCCAAGGGACGCUGGGCUAACUAGCUCUUCCCACUUAUGAAAAUCUAUACUUGGAAUAUAAGAGGACUUAAUAAUCCCUUUAAGUAGAAAGAGCUAAAGAUCUUUCUAGUAUGUACAAAAUAGAUGUAAUUGGGUGUGUAAAAACAUUGGUAAAUGAGAGUAAAGUUGGGAGAAUUAUAUAGAAGGUGGCUAAGGACUGGAAUGUUUGCUGUAAUUAUAAAGACCACCCAAAUGGUAAAAUCUGGAUAAUGUGGAAAAACAAUGUAAACAUCUAGAUCAUUGAG